GAUGAACGCUGGCGGCGUGCCUAAUACAUGCAAGUCGAGCGAACAGACGAGGAGCUUGCUCCUCUGACGUUAGCGGCGGACGGGUGAGUAACACGUGGAUAACCUACCUAUAAGACUGGGAUAACUUCGGGAAACCGGAGCUAAUACCGGAUAACAUGUUGAACCGCAUGGUUCAACAGUGAAAGACGGUCUUGCUGUCACUUAUAGAUGGAUCCGCGCCGCAUUAGCUAGUUGGUAAGGUAACGGCUUACCAAGGCAACGAUACGUAGCCGACCUGAGAGGGUGAUCGGCCACACUGGAACUGAGACACGGUCCAGACUCCUACGGGAGGCAGCAGUAGGGAAUCUUCCGCAAUGGGCGAAAGCCUGACGGAGCAACGCCGCGUGAGUGAAGAAGGUCUUCGGAUCGUAAAACUCUGUUAUUAGGGAAGAACAAAUGUGUAAGUAACUAUGCACGUCUUGACGGUACCUAAUCAGAAAGCCACGGCUAACUACGUG
This 497-nucleotide ribosomal RNA is filed under the name uncultured bacterium. RNAcentral's name for it is "partial 16S ribosomal RNA". It matches the Rfam family "Bacterial small subunit ribosomal RNA", at positions 28 to 507 of the family's 1533-position model. The record is from RNAcentral.